This is a non-coding RNA of Acanthosepion pharaonis, 114 nucleotides long. Lineage: Eukaryota; Metazoa; Mollusca; Cephalopoda; Sepiida; Sepiidae. The record is from the annotation of a GenBank genome assembly.
UUACGACCGUAUCAUGUCGAAACACCGGUCCCUAUACAAUCACCGAAGUUAAGCAACGUCGACCCUGGUCAGUACCUAGAUGAGUGACCGUUUGGGAAUAAUAGGUGCCGUAAG